UAAAACCAUAGUCCCCAAACUUUAUAACCAAUAUCCUACUUUAGCUUCUAGAAGCCUGUUGCGGUUCUAGUUCUUAUGCUCAACGAUACACAAAGCAUCUAGUCAUAUUUGGCUAUAAAUCCGCUAACCAAGCCACUUCUUAAUUCUCAAAGCUUUGAUGGUAAAGUCAAAGAUCUUAUGAGUUUUUGGUCUUGAAUCGUAUAACAAGGAAGCACUACUUUACUUUUCGGGAUCUCGUUGAGGUUCUAGUUUUAUAUAUUCAAUCAUAC
This 269-nucleotide small RNA is filed under the name Arabidopsis thaliana (thale cress). RNAcentral describes it as "ATSL039520". Lineage: Eukaryota; Viridiplantae; Streptophyta; Magnoliopsida; Brassicales; Brassicaceae. The record is from RNAcentral.